RNAcentral lists this ribosomal RNA (442 nucleotides) under uncultured bacterium. Its description in RNAcentral is "bacterial SSU rRNA". It matches the Rfam family "Bacterial small subunit ribosomal RNA", at positions 958 to 1401 of the family's 1533-position model. The record is from RNAcentral.
AACGCGAAGAACCUUACCUGGGCUCGAACGGCUGGUCAACGCCGGUGGAAACAUCGGUACCCCGCAAGGGGGUCCAGUCGAGGUGCUGCAUGGCUGUCGUCAGCUCGUGUCGUGAGAUGUUGGGUUAAGUCCCGCAACGAGCGCAACCCUUGUCCUGUGUUGCCAUCAUUCAGUUGGGAACUCGCAGGAGACCGCCAGGGAUAACCUGGAGGAAGGUGGGGAUGACGUCAAGUCCUCAUGGCCUUUAUGUCCAGGGCUACACACGUGCUACAAUGGACGGUACAAAGCGCAGCAAACCCGCGAGGGGGAGCCAAUCGCAAAAAACCGUUCUCAGUUCGGAUUGCAGGCUGCAACUCGCCUGCAUGAAGCUGGAAUCGCUAGUAAUGGCAGAUCAGCACGCUGCCGUGAAUACGUUCCCGGGCCUUGUACACACCGCUACAGU